Molecule: ribosomal RNA, 477 nt
Filed under: uncultured bacterium
Lineage: Bacteria
Description: bacterial SSU rRNA
Rfam family: Bacterial small subunit ribosomal RNA
Source: RNAcentral
CUACGUGCCAGCAGCCGCGGUAAUACGGAAGGUCCAGGCGUUAUCCGGAUUUAUUGGGUUUAAAGGGAGCGUAGGCGGAUUGUUAAGUCAGCGGUUAAAGGGUGUGGCUCAACCAUGCAUUGCCGUUGAAACUGGCGAUCUUGAGUGCAGACAGGGAUGCCGGAAUUCGUGGUGUAGCGGUGAAAUGCUUAGAUAUCACGAAGAACUCCGAUCGCGAAGGCAGGUGUCCGGGCUGCAACUGACGCUGAGGCUCGAAAGUGUGGGUAUCAAACAGGAUUAGAUACCCUGGUAGUCCACACAGUAAACGAUGUAUACUCGCGGUUUGCGAUAGAUUGUAAGCCGCCAAGCGAAAGCAUUAAGUAUACCACCUGGGGAGUACGCCGGCAACGGUGAAACUCAAAGGAAUUGACGGGGGCCCGCACAAGCGGAGGAACAUGUGGUUUAAUUCGAUGAUACGCGAGGAACCUUACCCGGGCU